Molecule: long non-coding RNA, 1042 nt
Organism: Quercus lobata
Lineage: Eukaryota; Viridiplantae; Streptophyta; Magnoliopsida; Fagales; Fagaceae
Exons: 4
Source: RefSeq, a predicted model, not a curated record
GAUAAAAUACUAAAACGCCGUAUUGGGAAACGCUUCUACCUCUCAUUCAUAACCGAAAAUAUCAGCUAAAAUUUCUCCCCAAUGCUAAAAACCAAACCCUAUAACUCUGAAAAUCAAAAACUCAAAACACGUCUCUUCUCUACUUUUUUUUUUUUUCCUUCCCCCAAAUCGCAAAAUCUCCACUCCUCGACCAUACAAGCUUAUAUGGAUGGUUACCGAAGCUCAAUGGAAAGUUCUCCGUUGAAUAUUGCAACCCAACUCACUGAUAUGCCAACCACAAACUGAUGUUCGCUGGAAAAAGCUUUGGAAGCUCAAAUACCCUGAAAGGAUUAAGAGAAUUACCUCCUCAGCUGCUUCGCUCAUACCGAAGAGUGGUGUGGGCAUGGGAGGUUCAUGGACAAGAGAAUCGUCUAAUACAGCUAUAUAGUUCAUCAAUAAGGCAAGGCCAUGAAUUACAUUGAUGGUCGUUGGCUGGGAAUAUGGUGCAAACAUGUUGACGAAGUACUUGGCAGAAGCUGGAGAGAAUACACCGCUUACAGCUGCCAUGUGCAUAGACAAUCCAUUUGACUUAGAGGAGGCUACAAGGUCCUCUCCUUAUCACAUGGCCAUUGAUCAGAAGCUCACUAGUGGACUGAUAGAUAUUCUAAGAUCUAAUAAGCUGUUUUCUAGGAACUAUUUCAAGGCAAAGCAAAAGGGUUUGACAUGGAGAAGGCUUUAUUGGCAAAGUCUAUUCAUGAUUUUGAAAAAGCAAUAUCUAUGGUAUCUUAGCACAAGGGACGUGGUUGGGAAUGUGAGCAAGCAAAGAAGAUUUAUAAAACUCAAUGUUUUAUGUUGAAUAAAUAUAUGAUGUACUCUUCUAUAUAAUGCAGAUUUGUUGUAUUAUGUUCUUUCUCUACUCUUUUUGAGUCAUAGCAAAAGAAUUUGACAUUGGUAACUAUAUUCUAUUUAUUUAUUAUGAAAAUAAGAUUGCGAUCAUUAUUGCAAUUUUAUUAUUUGUUUAUUCACAAUAUAUAUGUAACUAUGAAAAUAACUUCAUUGCUAA